Molecule: non-coding RNA, 28 nt
Filed under: Rattus norvegicus (Norway rat)
Lineage: Eukaryota; Metazoa; Chordata; Mammalia; Rodentia; Muridae
Source: RNAcentral
UGGUGAUUUUAGGGAUCCUCAAGGCCAC